RNAcentral lists this long non-coding RNA (453 nucleotides) under Bos taurus (domestic cattle). RNAcentral's name for it is "long non-coding RNA NONBTAT004823". Lineage: Eukaryota; Metazoa; Chordata; Mammalia; Artiodactyla; Bovidae. The record is from RNAcentral.
GACAGAGGAACUUACCAAGAGGCAUAAACAUCUUUAGUGAGUGGCUACACACAAGUCUUACCUUGCUUAUAUGCAAAGCAUUCUUUUUAGGUAACAAUAGACCUAAAGGUCUAGUUGUGAUCAGCAAUUAAAGUUUAUUAUCAGUUAAGAGGUUAAUUCUUUCGACAGCUAAAGACUGUUAAAGAGAUGUAUUUUGAAGUAGGAAAUUUAUGACAUAAGCCACUAUCUCACUGGAUAUGCAGGGUACUCACCUCAUCAGAAUUAGUGUAGAGGAAAUUCUGUUCAUGUUUCCCCAAGGUCAAAGGCAAAGGGAUAGACAAAGUAUAAAAAGAAGGCAGUUAAGCAGAAUGCUCAACUUGACAUGUUAUUAUUUUUUAUAUGUUUUGUACCAAUAAAAUAUCAAGCAAAAGAGACAAGUAACUUUUCGCCAUUUAGGACCAGAGGGAAAAAAUC